This 491-nucleotide ribosomal RNA is filed under the name uncultured bacterium. RNAcentral's name for it is "partial 16S ribosomal RNA". It matches the Rfam family "Bacterial small subunit ribosomal RNA", at positions 29 to 507 of the family's 1533-position model. The record is from RNAcentral.
GUGAACGCUGGCGGUAGGCCUAACACAUGCAAGUCGAACGGCAGCACAGUAAGAGCUUGCUCUUACGGGUGGCGAGUGGCGGACGGGUGAGGAAUACAUCGGAAUCUACUUUUUCGUGGGGGAUAACGUAGGGAAACUUACGCUAAUACCGCAUACGACCUACGGGUGAAAGCAGGGGAUCUUCGGACCUUGCGCGAUUGAAUGAGCCGAUGUCGGAUUAGCUAGUUGGCGGGGUAAAGGCCCACCAAGGCGACGAUCCGUAGCUGGUCUGGGAGGAUGAUCAGCCACACUGGAACUGAGACACGGUCCAGACUCCUACGGGAGGCAGCAGUGGUGAAUAUUGGACAAUGGGCGCAAGCCUGAUCCAGCCAUACCGCGUGGGUGAAGAAGGCCUUCGGGUUGUAAAGCCCUUUUGUUGGGAAAGAAAAGCAGCAGGUUAAUACCCCGCUGUUCUGACGGUACCCAAAGAAUAAGCACCGGCUAACUUCGUG